Long non-coding RNA from Strigops habroptila (Kakapo), 2412 nucleotides. RefSeq lists it as uncharacterized. The record is from RefSeq and is a predicted model, not a curated record. The transcript is spliced from 3 exons. NCBI's taxonomy places the organism in Eukaryota, Metazoa, Chordata, Aves, Psittaciformes, Psittacidae.
GGAGAGAACAAGUGGCCCAGAGGGCUUCGGAACACUUGGACUGGAUCAGGACUGUUAAAUCGGAGCAGAUGGCCACGUUAGCCCUGCAAAAGAGCAGCAACUCUCUGUAUUCAUCACUGGCCACCCAUCCAGUCUCUGCCUUCCAAUUUUCUCUGCAAGCCUUUGACAGCUGCUCCCAGGGAAAUUGCACUCGUGUGGUGAGCCGGGGUUAGAGAAACGUAUCCCUCACCUCCUUUUCAUUAGCAAUAAGCACGCACUCCCUUUGUCUUCUAAAGCAAUUUCAUAGCCGGUGCACAAACACGGAGCCAUCAAAGGAGCCUUUCGCUGGGCUGGCACGAGAGACAAUGGGAAGCAGAUACACCUUCAUCAACAAAGCAGCGCAUUUCCAUUUUGAUAACAAAUGUCUCUGGCUCCCUGUUGAACACCUGCAUCUUGUUUUCCCUCUGUUUUCUCUCUCCUUCCCCGAGCCAGCGAGAGGAGUCCGCCAAGCAGAAUGGUGUGUACAAUAGCAUUUCCCCCUUCCCUCCCAUUGCCAGUUGUCGUGCUGACAGAUCUGAUAGGCCUGCGUGCCACGCUUUGCCUUUCGUUCUGAACAGCAGAGAGAGAGAGAGAAAUGCAGGCCUUAUUUUCCUCCCUUCAGCGUUAUCAUCCUUUUUCAUGUUCUCAUUACAAUGCCACCAUGGCGAUAGAAAAAGAGAGAUUCAGGAGCUGCCAAAAGAGCCACCAGCUAUUUUUCUGCUCCCAACAAACUGAUGCAUGGCAAACUCUGCAUGGGUAUUUACAGGGGCGCUGACUCGUCGGAGUAGGCGAACAUGGCCCUGCCCACACAAAGACAAGCAGAGCACUAUCAUAAUUAGAUGACUCCACCCAUUUCCUAAUUAUUUACCUGUUUUACCUCCUCCCUAAAGUAAUUAUCUUGAGCAACUGUGCAGCAGAUCCCAGGGCAUGUGGCAGAGGAUGAAAACCCUGGUUCCUUUUGCUUUUGCAAGGCUGAAAAGCAAGGCACUGAGCUUCCGUCCAUCUCCCCAUCUGGGCUGAUACUGUCCUGUGUUUCAGGUGUUUUCCAUGCCGCUUGAGCAAGACCAGCAUCUUGUGACUUGCCUGCAUUGAGGACAAGUUGUUAGGCGUUGUGUUACAGAGGGAAAUUAUCAUAGACAGCCCUCCUGGCUCAGCUGCUGCCUCUCAAGCCUUGCGGUAUUCAUGUCCCCAAAGCUGAUUUCAGCCACUGGGGGUCCUGGGAAAGGCAGGCGAGUAAAUGAAGAGCUCCAGCGCUUUGUCCUCAGGGACAUUCUGUGAUGGAGCACUAGCUGAGCACAGGAAGGCUGAGUUUGCUCCCUCCAGGCUCUGCUAGGAGAGCAUACUGAAACGUAGUUGGAAAGAUGUGAUGCACUAUACAGGUUCCUCCCUUUACUGAUGUCAAGUGGCAAUUCAGAGAAGGCCUCCAGUGCCAGGAGCUGUCCCGAAUGCUGCUUAGUCCAUUUUGUCUCAUCUACCAACAUUUCCUGGUCUGGCAAAAUUUCCAGCCUCAGAUGAAGAGCAGUUUCCUUAUCAGAUUCACCCUGAGAGGGUGAACAGAUGACUUCUUUGAUUGCAGUACCUCUCUCAGUGACAUGACACAGUGCAGGGAUUGAGAGAGAAGCAGGGGUGAAAGGGAAAGCUGAUUUGGAAGAAAGAGAAAGAAGGAUGGGUGAAAGACGACCUAAGGAGAGGGAGAUCGGAGUGUAAAGAAGGUAAGGAAACACACAGGAGAUCUUUCUAAAGGUAGGAGGGAAUGAAAGACUGGGGAAGUGAUGAAAACAGAGAGGGAAAGAAGCAUUGCAUAUGAUGGAUUGUUCACCAGGAAUCCAAGAUCAAAAUGCCAACUAAAUUAGGGUAUUACAGGUCACUGAACAGAAAUUGCACAAUGGCUGAGUCUCUAACAAAGGUUAAAACAUGGAACAAAGGCAAAUAAUGAUACAAUCCAGAGUCAGUGACCAUAAACUCCAAACAAAAAGGAGGGCGUUGCAGAGAUGAUGGCAAAGCAGAAGAAAUCAUUGCUUGCAAUCGGUGUUCAGUGGGUCAGAUUGAAAAGAAAAUGUGCUUUUCAGACCUAACAUCCUGGAUGCAAACACAGAUGCAGGUUUGGCAAUGUCUUUCAAUAAAAUUAAUGCACUUAGAACACUCAGUAGGAAUGAGAAGCCGACAUCAGCUUAGGGACAGGCAGAGACAUGCCUAAAAGGUACAGUAUUGCAUAUAAACAUCAGAAUGAAGGAAGGAAACCUUGGUUUCUCUGAGCUGCUGAACACAGCUGCCUGGGAAUUUUUCAGUGAAAUCUUUGGUUGAAAACUAUCAAUUUAGCAAAAUUGAAGCUCUUUGCAUUGAAAAGGGCCGUUUUGCUAAACUUCUGGUUUUGAAAACAUUUACAGAAAAGAA